GACGAACGCUGGCGGCGUGCUUAACACAUGCAAGUCGAACGAUGAAGCUGGAGCUUGCUCCGGUGGAUUAGUGGCGAACGGGUGAGUAACACGUGAGCAAUCUGCCCUUGACUCUGGGAUAACUGCAGGAAACUGUAGCUAAUACCGGAUAUGAGGCUCGAAGGCAUCUUCGGGUCUGGAAAGAAUUUCGGUCAAGGAUGAGCUCGCGGCCUAUCAGCUUGUUGGUUAGGUAAUGGCUCACCAAGGCGACGACGGGUAGCCGGCCUGAGAGGGUGACCGGCCACACUGGGACUGAGACACGGCCCAGACUCCUACGGGAGGCAGCAGUGGGGAAUAUUGCACAAUGGGCGAAAGCCUGAUGCAGCAACGCCGCGUGAGGGAUGAAGGCCUUCGGGUUGUAAACCUCUUUUAGCAGGGAAGAAGCGAAAGUGACGGUACCUGCAGAAAAAGCACCGGCUAACUACGUGCCAGCCGCCGCAGUAG
Molecule: ribosomal RNA, 483 nt
Filed under: uncultured bacterium
Lineage: Bacteria
Description: partial 16S ribosomal RNA
Rfam family: Bacterial small subunit ribosomal RNA
Source: RNAcentral